This 456-nucleotide long non-coding RNA is filed under the name Volvox carteri. RNAcentral's name for it is "long non-coding RNA (VCAR_LNC003204)". Lineage: Eukaryota; Viridiplantae; Chlorophyta; Chlorophyceae; Chlamydomonadales; Volvocaceae. The record is from RNAcentral.
AGAUCUUUUCACAUUACUAAUGGGCGUCAGUAAAUGUUUUGAUCACCUGUCGGCAAAACCCUCGUAUAAUAGGUAAGGACGGUCCCUAUCUAUUGUUAUUCUGACGCAUGUAUAGAUAACGCAAAUCCGCUCAGCUGCAGCGCGGUCACUUAGCAGGUGGCCUCCGUUCGCAAGCUCGUGAUUCCCGCGCUCUGAUGUAGUAGCUGUACAUCGUCAGGCAUGAAUAACAUCGAUAUAAAUAUGAGCCAAUAAGGUGUGUACAGAGUAUGGUAGGUGCGGCAGCUACGUGGUACAUUGCGCAAUGUACCACGCAUGCGUGCAUUGAUGACCCUUUCAAAUCGCCCACCGCGCGCUGUAAACAUGUUUUGUUAAGUCAGUAUUGUAUGUACUGUAUAUCGAGUGGAAGAGAACUCAAUCUGCAUGCUUUGGGACUCUCAUAAUAGCUGUCUUCCUGAU